UGAGGUAGCACAGUUCAACAACACUUUAUUAAUCACACUGGUGCACUAUAUACACGUGAAGGGGGGGGAAACACCAGGGUCCCGGGGAUCACUUGGCUGGGGAGACACACUUCUUCGCACUCGCUCUGCUCCUCGUCCAAACAGUCUCCACACAAGCAGCUCAGCUCACUCUCCUACUCACGGGGUCCAGGGGUCACAAAAGGGCUGAUCCAGGUAAACCUGUUUACACAGACGAGGGUAAGUCGAAGGCAAACACGGGAACAGUAGAAUCGCAAGGAAGCCAGGCAAUACUAACGAGAGUUACUCAAUAUUCCAGCGACGAACAGCUCAGAGCCCCAGCCUUAAGAGCCAGAGAACUGCAAUCCGCUCGAGAUCAGCUGCAGGUGCGUGGGCCAAGGGCAGACAGGUAGGAGAGACAGAGUGAGAGAAAAACAACAAACACUUGUGGCCACACUGGGCUGGCCGGGGAGGCACAGGGACCAUGACACAGGGACUGUUGUAUCAGCUGCUUUUGAGGAUAUACUUAGUGAGGGUAGGAUCCCUGUGAAACUACAAAUAGAUGAAAGCAAAGAGUUUUAUAAUGCAACCUUUAAACAGCUAAUGAAGCGAUAUAAUAUCAAGCAUUUCUCAACAGCUAGCGAGGUUAAAUGCAGUAUUGUCGAGAGAUUCAAUCGUAGCUUCAAGGGUAGAAUGUGGAAGUACUUAACAUCAGCCAACUCCCGGAGAUAUGUAGAUGUCAUACCAGAUCUCACACAAGCAUAUAACAAUGCUUAUCACAGAUCUAUCCAAAUGGCUCCGGCAGAGGUGAAUAAGCAUAAUGAGAAGUCGGUCUUUAACGCGCUGUACAAAACGAGACCUCAGAGGGAACUGCGCUUUAAAUUUAAUAUCGGUGACACUGUACGAAUAUCAAAACUGAGAGGAAAGUUUCGAAAAGGAUACGAGCAGACCUACACCGAUGAGAUUUUCACAGUCAAGGAACGUAUAGGGAGACAGCCCCCAGUGUACAGACUAGUGGAUCUAGCAGGAGAGGUAUUGAAAGGGUCAUUUUAUGAGCCUGAGAUACAACGUGUGGUUGUUGAUGAAAACAAAACAUUUAAAAUUGAAAACAUAUUGGCUAGAAAAAAAGUGGGUCGGAAAAAGCAGGUGCUAGUGAAAUGGCUAGGAUGGCCCAACAGCUUUAAUUCGUGGAUUCCAGAAAAAGACAUCGUUGAGGCGUAAUUAACUCAGAUGACGCAGCUCUACAUACAUUCAUUCAACACUGAGCAUAGACUGAGAAAGCAUGAAUAAAAAGAACAACAAUGCAGGCUUCUAUGUAAGCCUCUUCUCGAAUGCUUCAGCACAUGUUUACCCGGGUAAUAAGAUAUCUAAUUUUAGAACAAAGCUAGCAAAACCUAUUGUUUUGGAUCAGCCGUAUGAGGUCGCUGUUAUAGAGAUACAGUACCCACGCAUAUGGCGGACUUUUCCACAAUCAGAUUCGGAAGUGGAAAUUCAGGACCCAGUCAAAGAUGGAACCUUAGCCGUAACCACGAUCGAACUGUCUGUGGGCCAUUAUGCAUCUGUGGAACAGAUAAUAAAAGAAUUUAAUUUUAAAUGUCAGCAGCACCAAGCCACUGGAGACAUUAAAAUGCAGUACAACGCAGUUAGUAACCAUGCCUGUGUUAUGGGGCCUAGGGGGACUAUUCUCACAUUUAAAGGGAGACUGGCGGAAAUCCUAGGAUUCAAAACAGGAGACCCGUUUGUACUUCAUUAUAAAAACACAUAUGCCCCACACCCCGCAGACAUAUACGGGGGAAAAUAUAACAUCUUUAUUUAUGCAGAUAUCGUUGAUUACCAGCUUGUGGGUGACGCCCACGCGAGGUUAUUAAGAGCUAUAAAUAUUACAGACGAUGACCGCCGCUUGCCUAUUCUACAAUUUGACAGCCCACACUACACACCUGUGUCAAAGACAUUAAUCGACGACAUAGAAAUUGAUUUGAAAGACGAUCGAAAUCAACACAUACCCUUUUUAUAUGGCAAAGUGUUUGUCAAGUUACACUUCC
Astatotilapia calliptera (eastern happy) is the source of this 2039-nucleotide long non-coding RNA. NCBI's taxonomy places the organism in Eukaryota, Metazoa, Chordata, Actinopteri, Cichliformes, Cichlidae. The record is from Ensembl.